Molecule: ribosomal RNA, 506 nt
Filed under: Escherichia coli
Lineage: Bacteria; Pseudomonadati; Pseudomonadota; Gammaproteobacteria; Enterobacterales; Enterobacteriaceae
Description: partial 23S ribosomal RNA
Rfam family: Bacterial large subunit ribosomal RNA
Source: RNAcentral
GGGCGUUAAGUUGCAGGGUAUAGACCCGAAACCCGGUGAUCUAGCCAUGGGCAGGUUGAAGGUUGGGUAACACUAACUGGAGGACCGAACCGACUAAUGUUGAAAAAUUAGCGGAUGACUUGUGGCUGGGGGUGAAAGGCCAAUCAAACCGGGAGAUAGCUGGUUCUCCCCGAAAGCUAUUUAGGUAGCGCCUCGUGAAUUCAUCUCCGGGGGUAGAGCACUGUUUCGGCAAGGGGGUCAUCCCGACUUACCAACCCGAUGCAAACUGCGAAUACCGGAGAAUGUUAUCACGGGAGACACACGGCGGGUGCUAACGUCCGUCGUGAAGAGGGAAACAACCCAGACCGCCAGCUAAGGUCCCAAAGUCAUGGUUAAGUGGGAAACGAUGUGGGAAGGCCCAGACAGCCAGGAUGUUGGCUUAGAAGCAGCCAUCAUUUAAAGAAAGCGUAAUAGCUCACUGGUCGAGUCGGCCUGCGCGGAAGAUGUAACGGGGCUAAACCAUGCAC